GGUCACGAUAGUGUCGCGAUAGGGCCACGAUAGGGUCGUAUGUCGCAAUAGGGUCACGAUAGUGUCGCGAUAGGGUCACGAUAGGGUUGUAUGUCGCGAUAGGGUCACGAUAGCGUCGCGAUAGGGUCACGAUAGGGUCAUAUGUCGCGAUAGGGUCACGAUAGGGUCGUAUGUCGUAAUAGGGGCACGAUAGGGUCACGAUAGGACCACAAUAGGGUCACUAUAGGGUCAUAUGUCACGAUAGGGUCUUAUGUCAUGAUAGGGCCACAGUGAUAUUGCGAUAGAGCCAUAUGUCACGAUAGGGCCACGAUAGGGUCAUGAUAGGGUUGUAUAUCGCGAUAGGGUCGCGAUAAGGCCACAAUAGGGUCAUGAUAGGGUCGUAUGUCACGAUAGGGCCGCGAUAAGGCCACGAUAGGGUCAUGAUAGGGUCGUAUGUCGCGAUAGGGCCGCGAUAGGGCCACAAUAGGGUCGUAUGUCGUGAUAGGGUCAUGAUGAUAUCCCGAUAGGGCCAUAUGUCACGAUAGGGUCGCGAUAGGGUCACAAUAGGGCCAUGGUGAUAUCGCAAUAGAGCCAUAUGUCACGAUAGGGCCAUGAUAGGGUCGCAAUAGGGCCACAAUAGGGUCACAAUAGGGUCAUAUGUCAUGAUAGGAUCACGAUGAUAUCGCGAUAGGGCCAUAUGUCACGAUAGGGCCACGAUAGGGCCGCAAUAGGGCCACAAUAGGGUCACGAUAGGGUCAUAUGUCGCGAUAGGGCUGCGAUAGGGUCAUGGUGAUAUCCCGAUAGGGCCAUAUGUCGUGAUAGGGCCGUGAUAGGGUCACGAUAGGGUCGUAUGUCGUGAUAGGGCUGCGAUAGGGUCAUGGUGAUAUCGUGAUAGGGCCAUAUGUCGCGAUAGGGCCACGAUAAGGUCACAAUAGGGCCACAAUAGGGUCACGAUAGGGUCAUAUGUCGCGAUAGGGCCGCAAGAGGGUCAUGGUGAUAUCCCAAUAGGGCCAUAUGUUGUGAUAGGGCCGCGAUAGGGUCACGAUAGGGCCACGACAGGGCCAUAUGUCGCGAUAGGGCCACAAUAGGGUCGCAGUAGGGCCAUUAUAGGGUCACAAUAGGGUUGUAUGCCACGAUAGGGCCAUGAUAGGAUCAGUAUAUCGUGAUAUAAGAUGCCAUAUGGUGAUAUAUCGCUCCAUAUCGCUCCAUAUCGCACCACAUUGCGACAUAAGGCAGUAUAUCGCGACAUAAGGUGCCACAUGGCGAUAUAUCGUGACAUAAAGGUGCCACAUGGCGACAUAUUGCGACAUAAAGGCGUCGUAUCGCGCCGUAAAGCAGAAUAUCGCGACAUAAAGGUGCCACAUGGCGAUAUAUCGCGACAUAUCGCGACAUAAAGGUGCCGUAUCGCACCGUAUCGCGCUGUAAAGCAGUAUAUCGCGACAUAAAGGUGCCAUAUCGCACCGUAUCGUGAUAUAUUGCGACAUAAAGGUGCCACAUGGCGAUAUAUCGUGACGUAUCGCGACGCAUCGCGACAUAAAGGUGCCGUAUCGCACCGUAUCGCGCCGUAAGGCAGUAUAUCGCGACACGAGGUGCCCUAUGGCGACAUAUCACGACAUAUCGUGACAUAAAGGUGCCACAUGGCGAUAUAUCGCGACAUAUCAUGACAUAAAGGUGCCAUAUCGCACCGUAUCGUGACAGAAGGCAGUAUAUCGCGACAUGAGGCGCCAUACGAGGAUAUAUCGCGACACGUCGCGACGGAAAGGCGCACUAUGGCGAUAUAUCGGGACAUAUCGCGACAUAAAGGUGCCAUAUCGCACCAUAUCGUGACAGAACGCAGUAUAUCGCGCCAUGAGGUGCCCUAUGGCGACAUAUCGCGACAUAUCGCGACAUAAAGGUGCCACAUGGCGAUAUAUCGCGACAUAAAGGUGCCACAUGGCAAUAUAUCGCGACAUAAAGGCGCCGUAUCGCGACAUAUCGCGACACGUCGCGACGGAAAGGAGCCGACUCACCGUAGAGGGCGGGGGCCGCGGGGCCGUCGCCGGCGUAAGGGGGGGCGGAGGACGAAGCGAUGGGGGAGGGGCCGCCCGACGGCAGCAACCGCGGCCCGCUCG
Gallus gallus (chicken) is the source of this 2090-nucleotide long non-coding RNA. Lineage: Eukaryota; Metazoa; Chordata; Aves; Galliformes; Phasianidae. The record is from Ensembl.